Molecule: long non-coding RNA, 534 nt
Organism: Peromyscus maniculatus bairdii (prairie deer mouse)
Lineage: Eukaryota; Metazoa; Chordata; Mammalia; Rodentia; Cricetidae
Source: RefSeq, a predicted model, not a curated record
CGAUCACCGCGGUCUCUCGCCGCGGACGCUAUGUGUUCGUUCGUGUUUGCUUCCCGUAGCCGGACCUGGUGCCUGGGCCCAGCGGAGCGCGGCCGGUGCGAUGCCGAGCCAGCCCGGCCUGUCGGCCCCGCCGUGGGCGCUGCGCAGACCUGAGGGAGCCGGGGGGAGAACUGACCGGACGUGGAGGAGGAGCAGAGUGCCACCACGAGGUCGGACAUUGAGAUCGGAGGCUGACUGCCAGCAGCCGUGGCCUCCCAUGAGUCCAUCUUAGGAGCGUCCGCUUCCUCAAGUUUUGAGAACUGAGUGCUGGAAUGCAGCCUGUGUUGGUAGCCGCAGUGAAGGAAGAGGCUGUCUCCAGAAGAGUCUCCAGCAGUACCGCCACCAACCGGGAUUCGGAAAGCAGCCUCUUAAGCAGUGUUAUGAAAACAGUCCAGCAUGUGUCUGCUGACCCUGUUCUGUCUGGUCAGGCACAUUUGGUGAUCAUCCUACCCCACGGGAACUUCCACACAUGUCAAUAAAAUGUUUGUGCACAAA